RNAcentral lists this ribosomal RNA (586 nucleotides) under uncultured soil bacterium. RNAcentral describes it as "bacterial SSU rRNA". It matches the Rfam family "Bacterial small subunit ribosomal RNA", at positions 55 to 619 of the family's 1533-position model. The record is from RNAcentral.
AUGCAAGUCGAGCGGGAUUUCUUUUGGUAGCAAUACCGAAGGAAGUCUAGCGGCGAACGGGUGCUUAACACGUGGGCAACCUGCCGAGAAGUGGGGGAUAGCUCGCCGAAAGGCGAAUUAAUACCGCAUGUGAUUAGAGAGGACAUCCUUUCGAAAUUAAAGUCGGGGCAACCUGACGCUUUUUGUGGGGCCCGCGGCCUAUCAGCUAGUUGGUGAGGUAACGGCUCACCAAGGCUUUGACGGGUAGCUGGUCUGAGAGGACGACCAGCCACACUGGGACUGAGACACGGCCCAGACACCUACGGGUGGCAGCAGUCGAGAAUUUUUGACAAUGGGGGAAACCCUGAUCGAGCGACGCCGCGUGGAGGAUGAAGGUCUUCGGAUUGUAAACUCCUGUCAUUUGGGAACAAGGCGCGCGUAUUAACUGUGCACGCGUUAAUAGUACCAGAAGAGGAAGAGACGGCUAACUCUGUGCCAGCAGCCGCGGUAAUACAGAGGUCUCAAGCGUUGUUCGGAUUCAUUGGGCGUAAAGGGUGCGUAGGCGGCGCGGUAAGUCGGGUGUGAAAUCUCGGGGCUUAACUCCGAA